GUGACAUAUUGCUUUUCCUCUGUUUCUUUUUCCCUAUUAUUAUGUCACCCGAUCGACACUGUCGGGUGACAUAUUGCUUUUCCUCUGUUUCUUUUUCUGUAUUAUGGCACCCUCAACGGAGUUGGGGUGACAUAUUGUUAUUGUUCGUUUCCUUUUUGUCUUAUUAUGGCACCCUCAACGGAGUUGGGGUGACGUAUUGUUAUUCUACGUUUCUUUUUAUGGCACCCUCAACGGAGUUGGGGUGACAUCUUGUUAUUGUUCGUUUCUUUUUUUUCUUUUAUUAUUAUUAUGGCACCCUCAACGAGUUGGGGUGACAUAUUGUUAUUCUACGUUUCUUUUUGUUUUUUUAUUUAUUUUUCUUCCACACAUUUUUGUCCAGUCUGGAACUCUCAUAUGAAUGGACCCAAGAAGAUGGAACUAUACCAUAAUGUUAACCACCAAAUGAAGAUUUGCUUUUUCGGGGUGGCACUUUCAAGAUGGCUGCCGUUACCAUGGAAACGGAACAAAUGUGGAAAAAUCCAGUUUUUUGUUUUGGUGAAGUGUUUGUAUAUGCUUUAACUCAGAAUCAUUAUAUUUUAAUACAAUGUAGGUGUCCACUAUAUACAGGUGUUGGAUGAUUUUGGCACUCAUUGGAACUACUAUGUUGCCAUGGAAACUACUCCAAAAAAUUAAAAAAUCUCAAAAUGUUCCAAACUUAAUGAAACUUCACAGUAACGAUGAGCAACAUUGGAAGAUGUUGAAUUUGGCGUUGGAAUUUCCAAAAUCGCUGUUGUUACCAUGGAAACAAUGCAAAAAGGUCAAAACUUGGAAUUUUCACAGAACAUUCUAGAACAUCAAUGUUUAAUUUAUUCUAGAGACAUUAAAUGGUAUAUGAUUAUGGAGGGAAAAAAUUGCAGCGGUGGUUUGACUUUGGAAUAUUCAAAAUGGCCGCCGUUACCAUGGAAACAGCAAAAAUACGAAAAACUUCAAAAUGCUUCAAAUUUAUUGAAACUUAUAACAAAUGUUGCUCAGCUAAUGUAGACUUGACUUUUGAGUUUAGAAUUUCAAAAUGGCCGCCGUUACCAUGGCUACCGCUCACCUGGCAAUAGGGGAAGGGUGCCAUCCGCUAUUGCUUGCAAUCGCAAAUCUAGUUAUUAUUUUAUUUUUCUUCCACCUAAUUUUGUCCGCUCGCUUUCUCAGAGCCAAAGGAACCAAUCUGAAUGAUGGUGCACUAUAACAAGGAACCCUGACUUUCCUGUUGCUUUUUAAUAUUGGCACUAAAAAAAUGGCUGCCAUCACCAAUGAAACGGAAAAAUGGUGAAAAAAUAUAAUUUUGGAGUUAGGUGAAUUGUUUGAGAAUGCUUAACCUUAAAAUCUUUAGAUUUUAAUACGAUGUAGGUGCCCACUAUAUACUGCUUUGGGAUGAUUUUGGCAAUCAUUGGAACUGCUAUGUUGC
This 1435-nucleotide long non-coding RNA is filed under the name Mytilus galloprovincialis (Mediterranean mussel). Lineage: Eukaryota; Metazoa; Mollusca; Bivalvia; Mytilida; Mytilidae. The record is from RNAcentral.